RNAcentral lists this unclassified non-coding RNA (455 nucleotides) under Hevea brasiliensis (rubber tree). The record is from RNAcentral. Lineage: Eukaryota; Viridiplantae; Streptophyta; Magnoliopsida; Malpighiales; Euphorbiaceae.
CGGUGCUGGCAUGUUUGAAAUGGAAAACGUGAAAGGAGGAAGUCCAUAUGGAGCUGGAACAUUCGCUGGUGAUGGCUCGAGACAGCCAUCUGAGCUUGAAUUGCAGCAGGCACAUCACCAAGGUAAAUACAUCGCUGCCAUCGCCAAGAAACUCAAGGGUGCUGCCUAAUUUCUCCUGCAAAGAUAUUCUUCUAAUACAUGAUUUAUCUGUGUGAUUGUCAAAGUCUACUUCUUUUAGUUGGGUGUGGAAUCUGUAUGUAUCUGAUUACUCUGUAAUUGUGUGUGUCAAAAGUACAAAAUAUAUGUGUUUAAUGGUUGCAAAUACAACACAACUUGAAUAUUGUUUAUAGUGAGUGAUAUAUUGAAUGUAAAGUCUUGUCUCUCAUUGCCUUUUGGAUUUGAUGUUCAGAAGAUGGAGUUAUGUUUGAUUAUGAAAACAUAUUUGAAGUUUUGUG